Molecule: ribosomal RNA, 255 nt
Filed under: Escherichia coli
Lineage: Bacteria; Pseudomonadati; Pseudomonadota; Gammaproteobacteria; Enterobacterales; Enterobacteriaceae
Description: partial 16S ribosomal RNA
Rfam family: Bacterial small subunit ribosomal RNA
Source: RNAcentral
UGCAAGUCGAACGGUAACAGGAAGAAGCUUGCUUCUUUGCUGACGAGUGGCGGACGGGUGAGUAAUGUCUGGGAAACUGCCUGAUGGAGGGGGAUAACUACUGGAAACGGUAGCUAAUACCGCAUAACGUCGCAAGACCAAAGAGGGGGACCUUCGGGCCUCUUGCCAUCGGAUGUGCCCAGAUGGGAUUAGCUAGUAGGUGGGGUAACGGCUCACCUAGGCGACGAUCCCUAGCUGGUCUGAGAGGAUGACCAG